GGAAUAUUGCACAAUGGACGCAAGUCUGAUGCAGCAACGCCGCGUGGGUGAUGAAGGUUUUCGGAUCGUAAAGCCCUUUUCUUGGUGACGAGGAAGGACGGUAGCCAAGGAAUAAGUGUCGGCUAACUACGUGCCAGCAGCCGCGGUAAAACGUAGGACGCAAGCGUUAUCCGGAAUUACUGGGCGUAAAGCGCGCGCAGGCGGGUCAGCAAGUCUUUCGUGAAAGCUCCCGGCUAAACUGGGAGAGGUCGGAAGAUACUGCUAGCCUAGAGUAUGGCAGAGGUGUGUGGAAUUCCGCGUGUAGUGGUGAAAUGCGUAGAGAUGCGGAGGAACACCAGUGGCGAAGGCGGCACACUGGGCCAUAACUGACGCUGAGGCGCGAAAGCGUGGGGAGCAAA
Molecule: ribosomal RNA, 398 nt
Filed under: uncultured bacterium
Lineage: Bacteria
Description: bacterial SSU rRNA
Rfam family: Bacterial small subunit ribosomal RNA
Source: RNAcentral